Molecule: ribosomal RNA, 253 nt
Filed under: uncultured bacterium
Lineage: Bacteria
Description: partial 16S ribosomal RNA
Rfam family: Bacterial small subunit ribosomal RNA
Source: RNAcentral
UACGGGGGGGGCAAGCGUUGUUCGGAAUUACUGGGCGUAAAGGGCUCGUAGGUGGCCAACUAAGUCAGACGUGAAAUCCCUCGGCUUAACCGGGGAACUGCGUCUGAUACUGGAUGGCUUGAGUUUGGGAGAGGGACGCGGAGUUCCAGGUGUAGCGGUGAAAUGCGUAGAUAUCUGGAGGAACACCGGUGGCGAAGGCGGCGUCCUGGACCAACACUGACACUGAGGAGCGAAAGCCAGGGGAGCAAACGGG